GACACGCAAGUGGUAGGAAGCCGAAAGGUGACCGACCCUUCGGGGAGCUUGCACAGGUGCUGCAUGGCUGUCGUCAGCUCGUGUCGUGAGAUGUUCGGUUAAGUCCGCUAACGAGCGCAACCCUCGCUGUGUGUUAUAUGUGUCACACGGGACUGCCGGUCUUAAGCCGGAGGAAGGUGGGGAUGAUGUCAAGUCAGCAUGGCCUUUAUAUCCUGGGCUACACACACGCUACAAUGGCCAACACAAUAGGUUGCUAAGCCGCGAGGUGGCGCCAAUCCAUAAAGUUGGUCUCAGUUCAGAUUGUAGGCUGCAACCCGCCUGCAUGAAGAUGGAGUUGCUAGUAACCGCAGGUCAGCUAUACUGCGGUGAAUACGUUCCCGGGGCUU
RNAcentral lists this ribosomal RNA (386 nucleotides) under uncultured Leptolinea sp. RNAcentral describes it as "bacterial SSU rRNA". It matches the Rfam family "Bacterial small subunit ribosomal RNA", at positions 983 to 1382 of the family's 1533-position model. Lineage: Bacteria; Bacillati; Chloroflexota; Anaerolineae; Anaerolineales; Anaerolineaceae. The record is from RNAcentral.